Long non-coding RNA from Dermacentor andersoni, 764 nucleotides. RefSeq lists it as uncharacterized. Lineage: Eukaryota; Metazoa; Arthropoda; Arachnida; Ixodida; Ixodidae. The record is from RefSeq and is a predicted model, not a curated record.
UGGGGGGGGCUAUGCACAUCAGGAAAAUACGCUGACUGUGGCUUGUUCAUGGAUAGAGUUAUCUGCCUGCUUCUCAUCAUUUCUAGACGCGAAGCGCCUCGGCAUUAGAACGAAUCGCUCGUCUUGAGCGAGAAACCAGAAGAGAACGAUGACGCGGCGCAACACUUCGUAUAGAUUAGACAACGCGAGCGUUCUCUGAGCUAUUCCGGGAUGCGCAUCAUGAGCCUCUUAGCAUUCAGUGCUGGUUGCUACAGGGACUCUGAGCAGCCAAACUAUUCAAACCACGCAAUUUUCCCUUUUUGUUUAACAGCGCAGUUCUUAUAUUUGUUGCGCUGGGACCGCUUCGCUGCAGUCGAACAGCGAGCGUCGUAAUGCGUGUUUUACGGCGUUCGAGGGAGCCGCAUUCAAGCAAGGCCGGGACAAUUUUGUCGCAAGCUCUGGUAUGGGUGCACCAAAAGUAAGCCCUUUACGCCGCAGCAAAAACACUAAAGUUUCCUAUCGUGUUUGUGUAUCUGUCGUCACUGCAGUGGAGACGCUAAAGUGCAAUAGGAGAAACUCAACGAAGGGAAAUGAUGCUAGCAGCGCCACUUCAGGAGUAGGAAAGAAGCAGCAACUCAAGGAUUGUCGGUAUUGGAAAGGUUUGUUUUCAACGCUUUAUUCAGGAAAAAAUGAAAACUGCGCGGUGUCAUCAAUGUCAUGAACCUUGAUCAGGCCAGUUCAAACGACAGCGCUAUGGCGUCCCGAGUGGGUGCGGAUGGCGGCAC